AUGAUAUGCAUAAUAACCCAAGUUGAUUAUCACAUACAAGUAAUUACAAGUAAUGAAACCAAACUAUUGUAAAUUAUUACACAAAAUUAGGAAUCACAAUGCUAUGGAUUGGCUUUGGCUAAAACAAUUUCAACCUAAUUACCAAAUCUUGCUUCUUUAACCUUAGGAAUCACUCUUUCAAGCUUCUGAAUCUUGUUUUAAAGAUCAAAUUGUCCAUACAGCUAAGACCAUCCAACAAUAACAAAUAAGGUAAUUCCAAUGUCCAUCCCCAAUUGGAAAAGUUAGCACUGAGUACUGAACACAUUUACAGUUCCAUUCUCAUUCCUUUGAAAC
Molecule: long non-coding RNA, 333 nt
Filed under: Trifolium pratense (red clover)
Lineage: Eukaryota; Viridiplantae; Streptophyta; Magnoliopsida; Fabales; Fabaceae
Description: long non-coding RNA (TPRA_LNC012892)
Source: RNAcentral